RNAcentral lists this ribosomal RNA (510 nucleotides) under uncultured bacterium. Its description in RNAcentral is "partial 16S ribosomal RNA". It matches the Rfam family "Bacterial small subunit ribosomal RNA", at positions 28 to 507 of the family's 1533-position model. The record is from RNAcentral.
GACGAACGCUGGCGGCGUGCUUAACACAUGCAAGUCGAACGAAGAGCGAUGGAAGCUUGCUUCUAUCAAUCUUAGUGGCGAACGGGUGAGUAACGCGUAAUCAACCUGCCCUUCAGAGGGGGACAACAGUUGGAAAUGACUGCUAAUACCGCAUACGAUCUAAUCUCGGCAUCGAGGAUAGAUGAAAGGUGGCCUCUACAUGUAAGCUAUCACUGAAGGAGGGGAUUGCGUCUGAUUAGCUAGUUGGAGGGGUAACGGCCCACCAAGGCGAUGAUCAGUAGCCGGUCUGAGAGGAUGAACGGCCACAUUGGGACUGAGACACGGCCCAGACUCCUACGGGAGGCAGCAGUGGGGAAUCUUCCGCAAUGGACGAAAGUCUGACGGAGCAACGCCGCGUGAGUGAUGACGGCCUUCGGGUUGUAAAGCUCUGUUAAUCGGGACGAAAGGCCUUCUUGCGAAUAGUGAGAAGGAUUGACGGUACCGGAAUAGAAAGCCACGGCUAACUACGUG